Molecule: unclassified non-coding RNA, 1016 nt
Filed under: Rhetinolepis lonadioides
Lineage: Eukaryota; Viridiplantae; Streptophyta; Magnoliopsida; Asterales; Asteraceae
Description: partial external transcribed spacer
Source: RNAcentral
CUCCGCCCCCUAAUCGGUGUUGGCCGCGCAUGGCACCGGGUCGGGCUGGAAACGACAAUCAAGCCUGUCGAUGACUCGGUACCUAUCGUAGCGUUUUUUUUCCGAAAAAACUUUACGAUAGGUAUCAAAUCAUCAACAUGCGUGGGGCGGUGGGUUUUGAUGCUUCGGAUCUUGCGUAUUUUCUAGAUGGACGGAAUUCGUUACUCAUUCUUCGCUAGUGACCCGACUUAAUUGCCAUUUUCCAGCGUUUAGGAGCUAUGUUGGUUGAGCUUUGCUCGGCUUAGACUGCAAAUAUACGUAUUGGGUUAGCGUUACCGGCCAUGUUGGUUGAGCUUUGCUCGGCUUAGACUGCUAAUUACGAAGGCAACCGUGUGCGGGCGAUGUCGGUUGAGCUUUGCUCCGGCUUUGACUGCUCGUUACAUGGCUGUUAAUAAGCUUAUUAAUAAGCUUGUUACUCGGGGCAUGUUUAGCGAAUUCAAUAAACUCUACGUAAAUACACCAGCAAGAGAUGAUGCAUCGUUGCUCACCGUUUGGUUUCUUGAUUUCGCAUCGUUCGGUGCAUUUUGGGGCUGUUUUGGCUUUUGGUUGCUUGUUUCGCCUUCGGCAAAGCGGGUGGCUACUAGUCGGGUGGCUCCGGGGAUGUUUUCCGUAAAGGUGCAUGAGUGGUGUUUGGUUUGUUACGUGUGGUUGGCUGCGGCGCUUGCAACAACUUCCACGCUCUCAUACCUCUUCAGUUUUGCGUCAAGGCUUGUAUCGCCUUGAGCGUCAUGUGGUUUUCUGUGUUGAAUACCUAAUCAACGGUAUCGGUAGGAUAAAUUAAAAGUUUUUUUUCGCCUUGCGUUGCUUUUGCGGCGUGAGGUGAACCCGAUUGCCUUCUCUUUGAUCCACCUUGUUGUUGCAAAGCCUUCGUCAUUGUGGCGCAUUGAGUAUUGCUUGGUUUCUUGUAUACGGAACAUAAAGUGGGCAUGGAUUUAACGAUUCAUGUUUGCCCUUGUUUCAGCUUCUUUAAAACGACU